RNAcentral lists this non-coding RNA (85 nucleotides) under Alkalibacter saccharofermentans. Its description in RNAcentral is "ZTP sequence". It matches the Rfam family "ZMP/ZTP riboswitch aptamer (pfl RNA motif)". From Rfam's summary of the family: Previously known as pfl RNA. ZMP is also known as AICAR. The record is from RNAcentral. RNAcentral also lists the same sequence under 1 other name. Lineage: Bacteria; Bacillati; Bacillota; Clostridia; Eubacteriales; Eubacteriaceae.
ACAUUCUUUUAUCCCUGACGGGUAAAUGUGGAAGAAACCACAGUGGGAUAAGAGUAUAUAUUAGCCGACCGUCUGGGCAGCAUUU